Molecule: long non-coding RNA, 884 nt
Organism: Sceloporus undulatus (fence lizard)
Lineage: Eukaryota; Metazoa; Chordata; Lepidosauria; Squamata; Phrynosomatidae
Exons: 6
Source: RefSeq, a predicted model, not a curated record
UGGGGAAUGAGCCACUUUUUCCUGAUUAAAUGAAAAAACAUGAUCUCUCUGCCAACUAUGUUAAUUUGUGCAGAGUUCAGUUAUUAAGCAACACACCAGAUGACAAAGAGCUGUUGCUCCAUAUCUUCGGAGCCAUAAGGACAGUGAAGAUUUUCAAGAUGAGCUUUCAGCAGUGACAGAGCUGUUUUUAGUUUCAAUCUUAUAGUAUUUUGAUUAUGGUGUGUGCAUGAAAGUCAAGGUCAGACUUACAUAUGAAGCUUUAUGAAGAAGACACUUCAGGCAGCAGAAUGCUGAGUAAACAGUGGUGGAACUACAAAAAGCAGAAGAAACAGAAUACAAAAUGAAUAAGAAAGAAAGGUCCAAGAAUGAAAAUGAAGAUGAUAUAACAUUUUAAAACUGUACUGAGGACAGUCAGCUAGGAUGUGUUGGUUUUCCCUGCUGCCACCCUACCUGGCAGGGUUAUUUUGGGAACCUGCCUUCUGGAGUAAUAGAUGAGCAAGUAUGAGAGAGGAGUCUCUAAUCCUAGGUUGUGUUGGGAUAUUGCUGAGGUGCAUAUCACUGGACUUUAAGGAACAUUUAAGAACAGUCUGGCGUCCAUUUCACAUCUCAGUUUAAUUGCACUAUAACUAUCCCUAUAAAAAGUGUGUGUGUGUGUAUAUACAUGAAAGCACAAAAAGCAAUAAAGGACAACAAAAGGAAAGGGAAUACAUUGCUUUCCUUGCUUUAUGUCUCUUUUAUACAUUCUUGGAUAAAGGAAAAAUGUAGAGCUUGUAUCCUUCCUUUCAUCUUCCCUUAUACUUCCAGAUGUAUUCAGUAACACAAAGUACAGUCCUUUACAGGAGAGAUGGUCAUCUGUUAGGGUUGCCAUAAGUGAGGACCUCCAA